UACGGAGGAUGCGAGCGUUAUCCGGAUUUAUUGGGUUUAAAGGGUGCGCAGGCGGUCUGUUAAGUCAGCGGUCAAAGCCCGGGGCUCAACCCCGUCGUGCCGUUGAAACUGGCGUUCUUGAGUGAGCGAGAAGUAUGCGGAAUGCGUGGUGUAGCGGUGAAAUGCAUAGAUAUCACGCAGAACUCCGAUUGCGAAGGCAGCAUGCCGGCUCCACACUGACGCUGAGGCACGAAAGCGUGGGUAUCGAACAGG
This 252-nucleotide ribosomal RNA is filed under the name uncultured Bacteroidales bacterium. Its description in RNAcentral is "partial 16S ribosomal RNA". It matches the Rfam family "Bacterial small subunit ribosomal RNA", at positions 524 to 776 of the family's 1533-position model. Lineage: Bacteria; Pseudomonadati; Bacteroidota; Bacteroidia; Bacteroidales. The record is from RNAcentral.